RNAcentral lists this long non-coding RNA (2213 nucleotides) under Diabrotica virgifera virgifera (western corn rootworm). Its description in RNAcentral is "uncharacterized LOC126888137". Lineage: Eukaryota; Metazoa; Arthropoda; Insecta; Coleoptera; Chrysomelidae. The record is from RNAcentral.
UUUACUUACUAGGUAUUUAGGAAAUAUUGAAGUACCAAUAUGAAUUUAUUAUUUUCAAACUGCUUUUUAUGUUCUUAAAAAUGUUUUAGUCCUUGUAGCUAGAAAUACUUGGUCCUUCCUAACAGCGUAGACAUAAAUGCACUGGAAACUAUUUUCAUAUUUUGCUCUUUUGUUACCUACCCCCUUCCCUUGUGCAGGUAUAAAAUGCAAUGCAAGGGUCAGAAUGACAAUGAAUGGCCGUUUCCGGAUUCCCGAAAAUUAUUUUACUUAUGGUAUAAACUCGAAUCAAAAUGGUAUAUUCAUUUCAACUGAAAACGAAACGAGAAUUUCUCAUUUUUCUUCACAAUAGAAUUAAGUUUUAAACUUUUUACCAUACAAUUAAAACGGUUUAAAAAAAAUGAAUUAGAUAGUUCAGUAGUACCUACUAAAAUACAUAAAUUUUAUUAAUUAUUCUUAACGCGAAGUUGAUAAUCUAUAGGCUCACAUUAUUCUUCUUCCUAUAGGUACGUACAUACAGUAUAUUAUUUUUAGAUAUUUUAAAAGUAUAUACAAGUAGGUAUGUGUUAAGUAUAUACUUUUGCAUAUACUUACGCAUAUACUAAGAAUAUUCGAUUAAGGUAUAUUCUAAGAAUAAACUUUUACGAACAUUCCGAGAUACUACGUACCCGAAUGUGCUCAGUAUAUUCGGUGCAAGAAUAUUCUUUGAGGCACAUGCAAAGAACAUGAAAUUUAGAAUGUUUUUUAUGGUACAUGCUAUGCUUGUACUAUGCAUAUACUAAAAAGGAUAUACUUCGACGAAUGUUGGUAGGAUAUGCUUAGAACAUGAUGCGAACAUCAUUGUUAUGUGGGAAGAAUCUACAGGUCGAGCAAGUCUCGUAAAUUUCACGAUUGCGAGCCACGCUUCACGCAACCGUGUUUGCGUACUUGUGUUUCGAGUUGCGUGGUCGUGCGGAGUUAUAUUUACCAAAUUUAAAUAUAAUCCUUUCUACUUGGUUUCUACUGAUUCAUAAUAAUAUAUGUCAAUAUGGCUACUGGGUGUAAAAGAUAAAUCUUAUUCUAUCUGUUCUUAAUGAGUUUUAGAUAAUUUUAGUUGUAUUUCUUUGUAAUUUUGUGUUGUACAAAGAUUAAUUUAACAUUUUCUCUGGAAGUAUUAAUUUAGAAAGAUAAUAUGCUUCAUUGGUAUUGUGUUUUGAAGUGUGAAAUGCAAAGUAAUUGUGAUAAAGUCAAGAUAAAGUUCACUUUUAAACUGAACUAAAUAAGGUAUCUGAGAGACAACAAUGGUUAAAUGCAAUACAAUGUACAGGUUUUACUAGCGAAAUGAAAAUUUUCCUGUCCUGUCUGCUGUAAUCAUUUUAUAUAUGGAAAACCAGCCGACUUAAUCGAUAAUAACAAUCUCCAGAUUGGGUUCCUUCAAUAAAUAUGGGCUAUAAACACAAUGAAAUAAGUUCCCCAAAAUCUAAAAUGGAGUGGUAUCAAAGGAGAAUUAAAGGGAAAAAUAUUCAUAUUGAAAUUAUUUAUAAGGCACUGGACUGUCUUAAAUUCUACAAUAAUACUAGAAUCAGCUGAGAGAAGUGGUCUACAAAAAACCAGGAAGGAAACGGAAUAUGUGGCUACGAAAGGCAAAAGAAAGGUUUACAAAGCAAAUGUGACACAUUUUUUUGAAAUAUUUAGGAAUAUCAGUAAAUUGCAUUAAAAAAAUGUAUGAAAAGAUUUUGUUCAAUAAAAAUGUUUAUAUUUAUCAAGGAUGUAUUAUUUGGUAUGGCCACAUAUCGUCAGUGAUGUAAUAAUACAUCCUAUCUGUUUUUUCAUGAGUUUUGUAAGAGAGACUAAAAACUUGUCUUAGGGUCACCUCCCGUUUUCAUAUGAUAUUUUUUGACUUGUUUUGUAGUAAAUUAAACUAUCUAUGAACUACAAAACAAGUCAAAACUUACAUAUGAACACAGGAGGUGACCUUAAAACAUGUUUUUCCAUCUCUCAUACAAAACUCAUGAAAAAACAGAUAGGAGGUAUUGUCACAUCAGCAAGGAUGUACAGUGAUGAGUGCCCUAAUAACCGGCAAAAUAUGGGCAACAUAUUUAGUUGUGAGAUAAAAAGAAAUGAAACUAGUCGAGCUGGGAAAUUUAGCGAAAUUAACCUUUAAAUUUACGUUAUAUUGAUCCCACCUUUACACAUAUCGGAGGAGUAUGUCAACUAAAACUGUCACUGUGACAGUG